This 253-nucleotide ribosomal RNA is filed under the name uncultured bacterium. Its description in RNAcentral is "partial 16S ribosomal RNA". It matches the Rfam family "Bacterial small subunit ribosomal RNA", at positions 524 to 776 of the family's 1533-position model. The record is from RNAcentral.
UACGGGGGGGGCGAGCGUUGUUCGGAAUUAUUGGGCGUAAAGGGCGCGUAGGCGGUUUGCUAAGUUGGAUGUGAAAACUCUGGGCUUAACCCAGAGCCUGCAUUCAAAACUGACAGGCUAGAGUUCUGGAGGGGAUAGCGGAAUUCCUGGUGUAGCGGUGAAAUGCGUAGAUAUCAGGAGGAACACCGGUGGCGAAGGCGGCUAUCUGGACAGAAACUGACGCUGAGGCGCGAAAGCUAGGGGAGCAAACAGG